Molecule: ribosomal RNA, 477 nt
Filed under: uncultured bacterium
Lineage: Bacteria
Description: SSU rRNA
Rfam family: Bacterial small subunit ribosomal RNA
Source: RNAcentral
AGGACGAACGCUGGCGGCGUGCUUAACACAUGCAAGUCGAACGGAAAGGCCCUUCGGGGUACUCGAGUGGCGAACGGGUAAGUAACACGUGGGUGAUCUGCCCUGCACUUUGGGAUAAGCCUGGGAAACUGGGUCUAAUACCGAAUAUGACCUCAGGAUGCAUGUCUUGUGGUGGAAAGCUUUUGCGGUGUGGGAUGGGCCCGCGGCCUAUCAGCUUGUUGGUGGGGUGAUGGCCUACCAAGGCGACGACGGGUAGCCGGCCUGAGAGGGUGUCCGGCCACACUGGGACUGAGAUACGGCCCAGACUCCUACGGGAGGCAGCAGUGGGGAAUAUUGCACAAUGGGCGCAAGCCUGAUGCAGCGACGCCGCGUGGGGGAUGACGGCCUUCGGGUUGUAAACCCGUUUCAGCACAGACGAAGCGCAAGUGACGGUAUGUGCAGAAGAGCACCGGCCAACUACGUGCCAGCAGCCGCGGU